Molecule: unclassified non-coding RNA, 883 nt
Filed under: Hevea brasiliensis (rubber tree)
Lineage: Eukaryota; Viridiplantae; Streptophyta; Magnoliopsida; Malpighiales; Euphorbiaceae
Source: RNAcentral
UUGCUAAAAGUCCAUUUACCACCUACUAAAAUGUGAAACACUAAUAAGGAAGCGAAAGGAACAGAGAUCACUAGAAGGCCCUAAUUUAACGACAAACAAAAUGCAUAAAACAUGUAUGAUGGGAAAGCACAAGAAUGAAGGAACCAUAGCUUUUGUAACAAAGCUUGCAAGAAAAGAUAAUAACACGAUGCAAAUAGAGAUGUGCAAAUAUAUGAAUGAUUCACCAGAUAGUUAUCUCAACAGUUCAAUAUAACACACAUUCAGGCAUUAGGACAAACUUAGGUCUCAGUUUACCUACCUGCACGGAAGACACACCAAUAUGGUAGUUGUUACAAUCCAAUUAAUAGUUAUCUUGUUCCUUAAGUUUUAAAUAUCCAAGCAGCAAGGUGGAGCAACACAUUAAUCCCUACAUGACCACAUUCAAGCAAACUGUUCUGCUGACACGAUAUGGUUUCAAUUCCUUUUCAAGGGUAAAACAAUCACUCAAGUAGACUUAUAAUAUCAAGAGAGAAUUCACAUUUAAAGCAAUCUGUUUUCUGGAGAUUCUAGAUUGUGCAUCAAUCGGGAGGCUUCAACCAAAUUGCCAUUAAAGGCAUAUGAAAAUGGAAAAUCUACCACUCAAAUUGAAAAGCUUAAAUGAAUAACGACAAAAUUAAUUUUAAGGAGAAACGUUCAAUCAGAUAAUGAUCUAUAAUACUGGGAAAAUUUUUCUUCUAGCCCAUGAUAAAAGUACCAUUGCAAAUAAUUUUGAUUAUUCUUACAAAAAGCCACUUCAUCAGUGCAUGGCCAUGGUCCAACAUUUAUCGUUUUCCCAACAAAACACAACACCGUUUAUUCAAAAACUUGGCACAGCCAACUAACCUCAACAAGGAUGCCAUCUCCG